Molecule: regulatory RNA element, 46 nt
Organism: Loxodonta africana (African savanna elephant)
Lineage: Eukaryota; Metazoa; Chordata; Mammalia; Proboscidea; Elephantidae
Rfam family: Histone 3' UTR stem-loop
About the family: The mRNAs of metazoan histone genes lack a poly-A tail. 3' end processing occurs at a site between a highly conserved stem-loop (modelled by this family) and a purine rich region around 20 nts downstream (the histone downstream element, or HDE).
Source: Rfam
CAAAAGGCCCUUUUUAGGGCCCCCACAAUUUCAAAAAAAGAGCUGU